Zonotrichia leucophrys gambelii is the source of this 469-nucleotide long non-coding RNA. RefSeq lists it as uncharacterized. NCBI's taxonomy places the organism in Eukaryota, Metazoa, Chordata, Aves, Passeriformes, Passerellidae. The record is from RefSeq and is a predicted model, not a curated record. The transcript is spliced from 6 exons.
AGGUCCUGGUGAGCAGGUCCCACAAGGUGAGCAGGUCCUACAAGGUGAGCAGGUCCAGGCACACAGGUCCCACAAGGUGAGGAGGUCCUGGGAGUGCUCAGGUUAGCAGGUCCCACAAGGUGAGCAGAUCCAGAUUAGCAGAUCCCACAAAGUGAGCAGGUCCAGGUGAGCAGGUCCCACAGUCUGUAGGGUCCAGGUGAGCAGGUCCCACAAGGUGUGAGCAGGUCCUGGUGAGCAGGUCCCACAACAUGAGCAGGUUCAGGUGAGCAGGUCCCACUGUCUGUAGGGUCCAGGUGAGCAGGUCCUACAAGGUGAGGAAGUCCAGGUGAGCAGAUCCAGGGACACAGAUCCAGGUGAGCAGGUCCUGGGAGCGCUCAAGUGAGUAAAUGCAGGUGAGCAGAUCCAGCAGUCUGUAGGGUUCAGGUGAGCAGAUCCCACAAGAUGAGCAGAUCAGGGACACAGAUCCAGG